This 21-nucleotide non-coding RNA is filed under the name Caenorhabditis elegans. Lineage: Eukaryota; Metazoa; Nematoda; Chromadorea; Rhabditida; Rhabditidae. The record is from RNAcentral.
UGUUCUGAUUAAAAGCCAUUC